AUUGAACGCUGGCGGCAGGCCUAACACAUGCAAGUCGAGCGGAUGAAGGGAGCUUGCUCCUGGAUUCAGCGGCGGACGGGUGAGUAAUGCCUAGGAAUCUGCCUGGUAGUGGGGGAUAACGUCCGGAAACGGGCGCUAAUACCGCAUACGUCCUGAUGUAGAAAGUGGGGGAUCUUCGGACCUCACGCUAUCAGAUGAGCCUAGGUCGGAUUAGCUAGUUGGUGGGGUAAAGGCCUACCAAGGCGACGAUCCGUAACUGGUCUGAGAGGAUGAUCAGUCACACUGGAACUGAGACACGGUCCAGACUCCUACGGGAGGCAGCAGUGGGGAAUAUUGGACAAUGGGCGAAAGCCUGAUCCAGCCAUGCCGCGUGUGUGAAGAAGGUCUUCGGAUUGUAAAGCACUUUAAGUUGGGAGGAAGGGCAGUAAGUUAAUACCCUGCUGUUUUGACGUUACCAACAGAAUAAGCACCGGCUAACUUCGUG
RNAcentral lists this ribosomal RNA (484 nucleotides) under uncultured bacterium. RNAcentral describes it as "partial 16S ribosomal RNA". It matches the Rfam family "Bacterial small subunit ribosomal RNA", at positions 30 to 507 of the family's 1533-position model. The record is from RNAcentral.